RNAcentral lists this ribosomal RNA (253 nucleotides) under uncultured bacterium. RNAcentral's name for it is "partial 16S ribosomal RNA". It matches the Rfam family "Bacterial small subunit ribosomal RNA", at positions 524 to 776 of the family's 1533-position model. The record is from RNAcentral.
UACGGAGGGUGCGAGCGUUGUUCGGAAUUACUGGGCGUAAAGCGCGUGUAGGCGGAUAUAUAAGUCAGGUGUGAAAUCCCUUGGCUUAACUGAGGAAGUGCAUUUGAAACUGUAUAUCUUGAGUACGAUAGAGGAGAGUGGAAUUCCCAGUGUAGAGGUGAAAUUCAUAGAUAUUGGGAAGAACACCGGUGGCGAAGGCGGCUCUCUGGAUCGAUACUGACGCUGAUACGCGAAAGCGUGGGGAGCAAACAGG